Molecule: ribosomal RNA, 223 nt
Filed under: uncultured Streptococcaceae bacterium
Lineage: Bacteria; Bacillati; Bacillota; Bacilli; Lactobacillales; Streptococcaceae
Description: partial 16S ribosomal RNA
Rfam family: Bacterial small subunit ribosomal RNA
Source: RNAcentral
CGUAGGUAACCUGCCUGGUAGCGGGGGAUAACUAUUGGAAACGAUAGCUAAUACCGCAUAAAAUUGAUUAUUGCAUGAUAAUUAAUUGAAAGAUGCAAUUGCAUCACUACCAGAUGGACCUGCGCUGUAUUAGCUAGUUGGUGAGGUAACGGCUCACCAAGGCGACGAUACAUAGCCGACCUGAGAGGGUGAUCGGCCACACUGGGACUGAGACACGGCCCAG